RNAcentral lists this ribosomal RNA (253 nucleotides) under uncultured bacterium. RNAcentral's name for it is "partial 16S ribosomal RNA". It matches the Rfam family "Bacterial small subunit ribosomal RNA", at positions 524 to 776 of the family's 1533-position model. The record is from RNAcentral.
UACGUAGGGACCGAGCGUUGUCCGGAUUCAUUGGGCGUAAAGAGCUCGUAGGCGGCUGCUCAAGUCGAAUGUGAAAACUCGAGGCUUAACCUCGAGAUGUCGGCGGAAACCAUCUGGCUAGAGUCCGGAAGAGGAGAGUGGAAUUCCUGGUGUAGCGGUGAAAUGCGCAGAUAUCAGGAAGAACACCCGUGGCGAAGGCGGCUCUCUGGGACGGUACUGACGCUGAGACGCGAAAGCGUGGGGAGCGAACAGG